Molecule: ribosomal RNA, 253 nt
Filed under: uncultured bacterium
Lineage: Bacteria
Description: partial 16S ribosomal RNA
Rfam family: Bacterial small subunit ribosomal RNA
Source: RNAcentral
UACGAAAGGGGCUAGCGUUGUUCGGAAUUACUGGGCGUAAAGCGCACGUAGGCGGCUUUGUAAGUCAGAGGUGAAAGCCCGGAGCUUAACUCCGGAAUAGCCUUUGAGACUGCAUCGCUUGAAUCCAGGAGAGGUGAGUGGAAUUCCGAGUGUAGAGGUGAAAUUCGUAGAUAUUCGGAAGAACACCAGUGGCGAAGGCGGCUCGCUGGACUGGUAUUGACGCUGAGGUGCGAAAGCGUGGGGAGCAAACAGG